RNAcentral lists this ribosomal RNA (1503 nucleotides) under uncultured bacterium. Its description in RNAcentral is "bacterial SSU rRNA". It matches the Rfam family "Bacterial small subunit ribosomal RNA". The record is from RNAcentral.
GAGAGUUUGAUCCUGGCUCAGAUUGAACGCUGGCGGCAGGCCUAACACAUGCAAGUCGAGCGGUAGCACAGAGAGCUUGCUCUCGGGUGACGAGCGGCGGACGGGUGAGUAAUGUCUGGGAAACUGCCUGAUGGAGGGGGAUAACUACUGGAAACGGUAGCUAAUACCGCAUAACGUCGCAAGACCAAAGUGGGGGACCUUCGGGCCUCAUGCCAUCAGAUGUGCCCAGAUGGGAUUAGCUAGUAGGUGGGGUAAUGGCUCACCUAGGCGACGAUCCCUAGCUGGUCUGAGAGGAUGACCAGCCACACUGGAACUGAGACACGGUCCAGACUCCUACGGGAGGCAGCAGUGGGGAAUAUUGCACAAUGGGCGGAAGCCUGAUGCAGCCAUGCCGCGUGUAUGAAGAAGGCCUUCGGGUUGUAAAGUACUUUCAGCGAGGAGGAAGGCGUUAAGGUUAAUAACCUUAGCGAUUGACGUUACUCGCAGAAGAAGCACCGGCUAACUCCGUGCCAGCAGCCGCGGUAAUACGGAGGGUGCAAGCGUUAAUCGGAAUUACUGGGCGUAAAGCGCACGCAGGCGGUCUGUCAAGUCGGAUGUGAAAUCCCCGGGCUCAACCUGGGAACUGCAUUCGAAACUGGCAGGCUAGAGUCUUGUAGAGGGGGGUAGAAUUCCAGGUGUAGCGGUGAAAUGCGUAGAGAUCUGGAGGAAUACCGGUGGCGAAGGCGGCCCCCUGGACAAAGACUGACGCUCAGGUGCGAAAGCGUGGGGAGCAAACAGGAUUAGAUACCCUGGUAGUCCACGCCGUAAACGAUGUCGACUUGGAGGUUGUGCCCUUGAGGCGUGGCUUCCGGAGCUAACGCGUUAAGUCGACCGCCUGGGGAGUACGGCCGCAAGGUUAAAACUCAAAUGAAUUGACGGGGGCCCGCACAAGCGGUGGAGCAUGUGGUUUAAUUCGAUGCAACGCGAAGAACCUUACCUGGUCUUGACAUCCACAGAACUUUCCAGAGAUGGAUUGGUGCCUUCGGGAACUGUGAGACAGGUGCUGCAUGGCUGUCGUCAGCUCGUGUUGUGAAAUGUUGGGUUAAGUCCCGCAACGAGCGCAACCCUUAUCCUUUGUUGCCAGCGGUCCGGCCGGGAACUCAAAGGAGACUGCCAGUGAUAAACUGGAGGAAGGUGGGGAUGACGUCAAGUCAUCAUGGCCCUUACGACCAGGGCUACACACGUGCUACAAUGGCAUAUACAAAGAGAAGCGACCUCGCGAGAGCAAGCGGACCUCAUAAAGUAUGUCGUAGUCCGGAUUGGAGUCUGCAACUCGACUCCAUGAAGUCGGAAUCGCUAGUAAUCGUAGAUCAGAAUGCUACGGUGAAUACGUUCCCGGGCCUUGUACACACCGCCCGUCACACCAUGGGAGUGGGUUGCAAAAGAAGUAGGUAGCUUAACCUUCGGGAGGGCGCUUACCACUUUGUGAUUCAUGACUGGGGUGAAGUCGUAACAAGGUAACCG